Molecule: ribosomal RNA, 520 nt
Filed under: uncultured Glomus
Lineage: Eukaryota; Fungi; Glomeromycota; Glomeromycetes; Glomerales; Glomeraceae
Description: SSU rRNA
Rfam family: Eukaryotic small subunit ribosomal RNA
Source: RNAcentral
AGCAGCCGCGGUAAUUCCAGCUCCAAUAGCGUAUAUUAAAGUUGUUGCAGUUAAAAAGCUCGUAGUUGAAUUUCGGGAUCAAUAUUUCGGUCAUGCCGUUGGUAUGCACUGUUAUCAUUGAUUUCUCACCUUCUAAAGAACCGUGUUGCCAUUAAUUUGGUGUUACGGGGAAUUAGGACUGUUACCUUGAAAAAAUUAGAGUGUUUAAAGCAGGCUCACGCUUGAAUACAUUAGCAUGGAAUAAUGAAAUAGGACAUCCGAUUCUAUUUUGUUGGUUUCUAGGAUCGAUGUAAUGAUUAAUAGGGAUAGUUGGGGGCAUUAGUAUUCAAUUGUCAGAGGUGAAAUUCUUGGAUUUAUUGAAGACUAACUACUGCGAAAGCAUUUGCCAAGGAUGUUUUCAUUAAUCAAGAACGAAAGUUAGGGGAUCGAAGACGAUCAGAUACCGUCGUAGUCUUAACCAUAAACUAUGCCGACUAGGGAUCGGAUGAUGUUAAUUUUUUAAUGACUCAUUCGGCGUACC